Callithrix jacchus (white-tufted-ear marmoset) is the source of this 4601-nucleotide long non-coding RNA. RefSeq lists it as uncharacterized. The record is from RefSeq and is a predicted model, not a curated record. Lineage: Eukaryota; Metazoa; Chordata; Mammalia; Primates; Cebidae.
GUGUGUUUCACUGACAGCACACUUGACUGGGAGCAGGGACAACGUGAUCUGGUCGUUGCUGCAUCACGUUACUAUAAGUGAUCUAGAUAAAACUACCUUACAUAACCGGGCUUCUGUGUUCCCUUUAAGCACUAAGUAUUUGAGUCUGAUUCAUAAAAUUUUAUUAGUACCACAGGGGAAUUUGUCUCCUGCCCUGAUGGAUACACCCCAUGCUAUACCCUGUUAUGUGGGGGGAUCUCUGAACUGAUCCCCUAAGUUCACUACACUCUCCAAAAUUGAAUGACCCCAUAUUGGGUACACAAGAGCAGCACCUGUCAGCAGACAGUCCACCCUAUUUUAUCUCUGCUGGCCCCCUUAUAACCUGGGGAAAAUCAAUUCCCCCUUUGACAUUUCAUGGCCUUAAAGGAAAUGCCGCAUUGAGGGGAAUGGGCAGCCGGGACUUGGGGACUGCUGGCUGGAUGCGAGGGACCAAGCUCAGCUGACAUGUUUCUUUGAUUUUGAUCAUGCUUAUGGCUUCAGCUCACAGAUGCACAUUAUUUGCUUAUGUUUUCCAAAUCCCAUCAAUCUCUUCAUGAGCCUUUGCGUUGCUGGUUGAGUGUCCUUCCUCAGUUUGUGUCUGAGAAAAUGAGAAGAGGAGAAGAAGCCCUUGAACAUGUAAUAGCACACUUCUGCCACCAAAACUCAGGCAGUGGGGUUUCUUUUUUCAUUAAGAACAUUUGUGUAAAACUGUACUCUGCAAUAUCAAGAUGACUCUUGUUCUGGGUUGGGGCACAGGAGGAUCUGAUGGAAGACUUUUCUUGAGGAUCUAGUGAAGGAUAAAAGCAUAGGCAUGAAUGACAAGGUAGGUCAUUCUGUCCUCCUCUGAUCAUGUGAUGACUUCUCUUCUUAUUGCCUGACCCUGAAUAUGAUCAAAGAUUCAGGUUUAGGCACUAGAAACAGCUUUUCGUGAUCCCUAUGGAAAUGUCUUGGCCAUGUUCAGGAACGCAGGAGUCAGAUAUUCCAGGGCAGGGAGGUCUGGUGUUAUCUCUGAUUUGGAGCCAGCUGGUCCCUACAGGAGCCUGAGAUUCUGGCAGUCUUUGGUGACAGAUGAUAGUCUGGGUGCUUGUUUAUUUUCAACAAAGAGCCAAGUCCAGGGAGUCUGGGAAGUGGACAUCCAAGGUGUCAGCAUGCUGGACUGGACUUCCCAGGAGCACAUGGACCUAACUCCACCAAGCAGGAGAGCCUGACUCUUCCUGAACCACCAGAGAACACUUCAUGCCUGAGGCUGGCUUGCAGCACUUGAGGCAGUGAGCCCCAGAGCGAAAGCUCCGAGUCACCCACCCUUCGUGUCAGGCAGCAUGACCAGAGACCUAGACACUCUAUGAUAUGCUCCCAAAUUCCUGUUUCCCUUUUCCUGUGGAAGUGGCUCACCCACUCUCAGCCACCCCAUUGCAUCCUCUGUCCUGUCAGCCUGUCUUCUGUGGGCUCCCACUCACUCAGGGCUGUCUUCUUUCCGUGUGAAUUAGGGCUGUGUCUGCAUGGCCCUGGGAGCCUUCCAUUUAUACCAGUGACUUUCGUCACGCUUCAGGGCAGAAACAUCCCUUAGGUACGGAGGAAUGGUUGAAUUUGAGUCUGGAUUUUAUACUUCGUUAAGCCUGAGAUCCUAACCUCUAUGAGCUUAAGUGCUUUCAUCUUUUAAAUGGGAAUAAUAACACCAACAUUUCAGUGUUGUUAAAAGAUUAAAUAUCAUAAUGUUUAUCAAAUAUCUGACAUGCAAAACACUUCUUAAUUGCUGCGAAUUCUUCUCUGAGAAAGGUAUAUCUACAGAAAGUUCUCCAGGACUGGUGUAAUCCUGAUGAAAAUGCCAUGUACACAAAGGCAGGAACUUAUUAACAGUGGCUCCUCACAUACUUUACCCCUAUUGCACUUGGGUUUGUCCGCUGACCUCUCUUGAGAUUUCUCCGUUAAGGGAACUCUUGAUACUUUUCUUCCCUUCCCCUUCCACCAGCUUCCUCCACCAAACACCCCAUCUGUGCCCUCCUUCCCCUUUCAGAAUCGCCUUUGGCACUUAUCUCAACCUUGUUUCUUCUGUACAGGAGCUGAGUGGAGAGGACUGUGUGGGGAGCACUCAGAUUUGUUUCUUAAUCCUGGCCCACAUCCCCAGGGGCCAACCUGGCCAACCCUAGAAGUGUUUUGCCCUCUCUGAGUUACUGGGAAGUACCUUCCAGAGCUGCUCUCAUUUUCUAAAGAAAUGGAAGCCUUUGUAUAUUUCCAAGAAACACCAGAAAAUAACUAAAAACAUGUAAUUUGGAAUGAUUCAGACCCAGACCCAAGCCUGGAGGCUCAUUUCCUAGGAUUGACUUGGGCCAACUGUUCAGCUGUGAAAUAGUAUGACCAUGACCAACGAAGGUGCCAGUCAUCCAGACCUUGGCCAUACAUCCAGCCGUGGAGCAGGGAUGGAGUCGGCUCCCAAACGAUACCACCCAGGAUCAGCCCACCUUUGGUCCCAGCGCUGGCUAUGUUGACAGAGAAGUACAUUUGGUUCUACUUGAAGGAACUGUCCCUAGUCUAAAUGGCCCCAGUAUUUAAAGUCUAGGUGGAGUUUGUCUCCUGAUCCCUUCAGCCCCCUGCAGUUCAGCACAUCCAGGAGGUGCCUGGUGAUCCACUUCUCAACAAGGCAUCACUUGCCAAUCAGUGAAAUGGGAAGAGCCCAUUCAGGAGAGGAAAGCGAGUGUGCCAAGAGAAGGAGGAGCAUGUGGAAAUGGCCUGAUCAGAACGAGACAGAAAUCAACUUGGUGCCUCACUCUAGUCCUGACCCCGUUACCACCAAAACAUCCCCACUGAGGAACUUCUAGUGGAUACAUUUCAAGAAGAAGGAAACUGACCCCAAGAAGAAGAUAUGAGGUAUAAAAAGAAAUUUAAUGAAAUACAAAAUGUCUAGACAAGUGUAGAUAUUUUGAAUGUAUAAAAAUUAAGAAAUGUUUAAUAUUCGGGCUAAAAAAGGAAAAGAUGGAGCUGGACAGCCAGAUGACAGCAGCGUCGGAGCCAGGAGGGGAUGACAGUUGUUCCGUGAUUCUCAUAUUGUACAAGAGGGUGAUGAUUGACCUAAGACAUGUGCCUCUUGGAAUUUCUCUGGCAGCUGCUUCCUGCUGCUUCCUGCUGGACUUCCACUGUGACCCUUGGUUUUCCCUGUCUUGCAUUUUGGCCUCAUGGAAACCCAGCUGCUCUCCUACCGGGGUCUACUGGGCUCUUCCACAUGAAAGGCCACAUGACCUGCAUCUUCAAGCCCUCCUCAGUAUCUUUGUAAAGAGCAUGUACCCAGAAAAUAUGUGCUUUAACACCUUAGACUCACAGUUUUGGUGGUUUUUUUUCUUUUGGCCCAAACUGAACAAAAAUGUUUGUUCUUCUAGAUUGAAAGAAGUAAACAAAGAAAAACAAAACUGUUUGUGCUUCUAGGCUGAAAAAGCUUUAUGAGGGUAAACCGAGACUCUUUGCUAUUGAAAUUCUAUUUCCAGGCACAUCCCUCAGCCCACGGUAAGUACUCAAAAUACCUUUCUUGAAUGGCUUUAUAACCAUUUUUUGAUGGAGAAAUGUAACAUAUGGUUAUUACCCUUUGGUUUUUCAUUUCUCUAGUCUGCAGAUAUUUGAUGAGCACUGAUUGUGACGGUUAAUUUUAGGUGUCAACUUGUCUGAAUUAAGGCAUACCUAGAGAACUGGCAAAGCAUUAUUUUUAGGUGGUUCUGUGAGAGUGUUUCCAGAGGAGAUUGGUAUGUGAGUCAGUGGACUGAGUGGGGAAGAUCAACCGUCAAUGUGGGUGGGCACCAUCCAGUCAUCUGGGGGCUGAGGGAGAAGAAAAAAGCAGAGGCAUGAUGAAUUCUUUUUCUCUCUCCUGGGGCUGGGAAAUGCUUCUUCUCCUGACCUUGGACCUCAGAACUCUAGGCUCUUCAGCCUUUGGGCUCCAGGACUUACAGCAGCCCUCCCUGGGUUCUCAGGCUUUUGUCCAUGAACUGAGAGUGACACCAUCAGUUUUCCUGGUUCCAAGGCCUUCGGACUUGAACUGAGCCACACUCGUGGCAUCCCUGGGUCUCCAGUUUGCCCGAUGAUCUAUUGUGGGAACUCUUCAUACCCAUGUGAGCCAAUUCUCCUAAUAGGUCGCCUCUCAUAUAUCUACAUCUAUAUUUUCUAUUGGUUUUAUCUUUCUGGAGAAGUCAGAUACACGUAUUACCAUCAAGCGCUGCUCUAAGUACUGCAGGGAUAGGCAAUGAUGAGCAAGCUAGAGACAGGAUUCCUGUUUUUAUGACCGUUGCUGUCCAGCCUCACGAUUUUUAAACCUUUCAAAUAGCACACACUCACCACACAAUAAUAAAAGUUUGAUGUAUCUGUAGUACACAUAAUGUACUCUGAUAUUUUCUAUUUUGUUCUUUUUUUUUCCUAAAGAAAAGGGGUCAUCACAACCUGCUAAGUUGAUUUUAUGACCCAUGACUGCUAGGAUGAUUCUUGCAGUUUGAAAACCAUUGAUCCAGUGCCGAGGUUUGAAGUCUCUUCUCUGUUGUGGAUUCCUAGGAAUCAUAUUUUACAAUGCACAAAACAACGUACAUAGGUUUAGAAAGGAAAUCCAUUCC